This 175-nucleotide ribosomal RNA is filed under the name Muribaculaceae bacterium. RNAcentral describes it as "partial 23S ribosomal RNA". It matches the Rfam family "Bacterial large subunit ribosomal RNA", at positions 2738 to 2925 of the family's 2925-position model. The record is from RNAcentral. Lineage: Bacteria; Pseudomonadati; Bacteroidota; Bacteroidia; Bacteroidales; Muribaculaceae.
CCGCCGGGUAGCCGCGUCUGGGCAGGAUAAGUGCUGAAAGCAUCUAAGCACGAAGCCGGCUCCAAGAUAAGAUCUCAUUCAAGGGCCGUUGAAGACGACGACGUUGAUAGGCCGCAGGUGUAAGCGUUGUGAGGCGCUCAGCCGAGCGGUACUAAUUGCCCGAAGUUUCCGGAGA